This 408-nucleotide long non-coding RNA is filed under the name Olea europaea subsp. europaea. Lineage: Eukaryota; Viridiplantae; Streptophyta; Magnoliopsida; Lamiales; Oleaceae. The record is from RNAcentral.
UAUAUUAAUAUAUUUCAGUCUUUCAGUUGGAACAUUGUUUUUCAGCGGGGUUUGCAGGAUUAGAAAGUGGAUAAUUAUGCUUCACUAUUGACAUCUUUGCAUGAAGUGCACAUCAGGGUAGGCAAGGGUAAUUAUAACAGGUGAAGGUUGACACAAGAUGGUAUCUUCUCAGUCGGCAUGUAUUUUAAAUCCUUAUUGGGUCCCAUGGAGAGUUCAAUCUCUUAGAAGAUGAUAUGGAAAUGUAAAACUGCCUCCAAAGAUGGCAUUUUUAUUAUUUGUUAGAGGACAAGUGUUAACUGCGGAUAAUUUCUGAACAAGGGAUUUUUAUGUUACAGAGUGGUGUUAUAUCUGUACGAAGGAUGGGAUGACGAGUAACCAUCACAUUUGCUGUGAAACGAUAUUCCGACG